This 1466-nucleotide ribosomal RNA is filed under the name Escherichia coli. RNAcentral's name for it is "partial 23S ribosomal RNA". It matches the Rfam family "Bacterial large subunit ribosomal RNA", at positions 31 to 1540 of the family's 2925-position model. The record is from RNAcentral. Lineage: Bacteria; Pseudomonadati; Pseudomonadota; Gammaproteobacteria; Enterobacterales; Enterobacteriaceae.
CCCUGGCAGUCAGAGGCGAUGAAGGACGUGCUAAUCUGCGAUAAGCGUCGGUAAGGUGAUAUGAACCGUUAUAACCGGCGAUUUCCGAAUGGGGAAACCCAGUGUGUUUCGACACACUAUCAUUAACUGAAUCCAUAGGUUAAUGAGGCGAACCGGGGGAACUGAAACAUCUAAGUACCCCGAGGAAAAGAAAUCAACCGAGAUUCCCCCAGUAGCGGCGAGCGAACGGGGAGCAGCCCAGAGCCUGAAUCAGUAUGUGUGUUAGUGGAAGCGUCUGGAAAGGCGCGCGAUACAGGGUGACAGCCCCGUACACAAAAAUGCACAUGCUGUGAGCUCGAUGAGUAGGGCGGGACACGUGGUAUCCUGUCUGAAUAUGGGGGGACCAUCCUCCAAGGCUAAAUACUCCUGACUGACCGAUAGUGAACCAGUACCGUGAGGGAAAGGCGAAAAGAACCCCGGCGAGGGGAGUGAAAAAGAACCUGAAACCGUGUACGUACAAGCAGUGGGAGCACGCUUAGGCGUGUGACUGCGUACCUUUUGUAUAAUGGGUCAGCGACUUAUAUUCUGUAGCAAGGUUAACCGAAUAGGGGAGCCGAAGGGAAACCGAGUCUUAACUGGGCGUUAAGUUGCAGGGUAUAGACCCGAAACCCGGUGAUCUAGCCAUGGGCAGGUUGAAGGUUGGGUAACACUAACUGGAGGACCGAACCGACUAAUGUUGAAAAAUUAGCGGAUGACUUGUGGCUGGGGGUGAAAGGCCAAUCAAACCGGGAGAUAGCUGGUUCUCCCCGAAAGCUAUUUAGGUAGCGCCUCGUGAAUUCAUCUCCGGGGGUAGAGCACUGUUUCGGCAAGGGGGUCAUCCCGACUUACCAACCCGAUGCAAACUGCGAAUACCGGAGAAUGUUAUCACGGGAGACACACGGCGGGUGCUAACGUCCGUCGUGAAGAGGGAAACAACCCAGACCGCCAGCUAAGGUCCCAAAGUCAUGGUUAAGUGGGAAACGAUGUGGGAAGGCCCAGACAGCCAGGAUGUUGGCUUAGAAGCAGCCAUCAUUUAAAGAAAGCGUAAUAGCUCACUGGUCGAGUCGGCCUGCGCGGAAGAUGUAACGGGGCUAAACCAUGCACCGAAGCUGCGGCAGCGACGCUGAUGCGUUGUUGGGUAGGGGAGCGUUCUGUAAGCCUGCGAAGGUGUGCUGUGAGGCAUGCUGGAGGUAUCAGAAGUGCGAAUGCUGACAUAAGUAACGAUAAAGCGGGUGAAAAGCCCGCUCGCCGGAAGACCAAGGGUUCCUGUCCAACGUUAAUCGGGGCAGGGUGAGUCGACCCCUAAGGCGAGGCCGAAAGGCGUAGUCGAUGGGAAACAGGUUAAUAUUCCUGUACUUGGUGUUACUGCGAAGGGGGGACGGAGAAGGCUAUGUUGGCCGGGCGACGGUUGUCCCGGUUUAAGCGUGUAGGCUGGUUUUCCAGGCAAA